CUGCUAUGGGGUUUCGACUAAGCCAUGCAAGUUUGGGGACCUUCGGGUCACCGGCGAAUCGCUCAGUAACACGUCAUUAAUUUGCCCUUAGGCCAGGAAUAACCUUGGAAAACUGAGGCUAAUGCCUGAUAGGGAAUAUCUGCUGGAAUGCUUUAUUCUUCAAACUCGUGCCUAAGGAUAAGAUGGCGGCUGAUUAGGUUGUUGGCGGUGUAAUGAAGCGUAAGAGUAUCUUACUAUUUGAAAAUGCUCACGCAUUUACAAGACCACCAAGCCUACGAUCAGUAGGGGCCCUGAGAGGGGUACCCCCGAGAAGGGAACUGAGACACUGUCCCUAACCCUACGGGGUGCAGCAGGCGCGAAACCUUUACAAUGCACGAAAGUGUGAUAAGGGGAACCCUAGUGCUAUACUUAUGGUAUGGCUUUUCUCAUAUGUAAAAAGUAUGGGGAAUAAGUGGUGGGCAAGACGGGUGCCAGCCGCCGCGGUAACACCUGCGCCACAAGUGGCAACCGUGAUUAUUGGGCCUAAAGCGUUCGUAGCCUGUUAAGUAAAUUCUUUGUGAAAUUGUGUAGCUAAACUAUACAGCGUGCAGGGAAGACUGCUUGACUAGGGACCGGGAGAUGUUAGAGGUAUUUUUGGGGGAACGGUAAAAUGUUAUAAUCCCAAAAAGACCACCUGUUGCGAAGGCGUCUAACAAGAACGGAUCUGACGGUGAGGGACGAAGGCCAGGGGAGCAAAUCGGAUUAGAUACCCGAGUAGUCCUGGCAGUAAACGCUGCGAGCUAGGUGUUGCAUAAUCUAUGUGGUUAUGCAGUAUCGAAGCGAAGGUGAUAAGCUCGCCGCCUGGGAAGUACGGUCGCAAGGCUGAAACUUAAAGGAAUUGGCGGGGGCGCACUACAACGAGUGCGGCGUGCGGUUUAAUCAGACUCUACACCGUGAACCUCACCAGGAACGACGGCAGGAUGAAGGUCAGAUUGAAGGUCUUACCUAACGAGCCGAGAGGAGGUGCAUGGCCGUCGUCAGCUCGUGCCGUAAGGUGUCCAGUUAAGUCUGGCAACGAGCAAGACCCACAUCUACUGUUGCAAACGGGCUCUCCGGAGUGACCGCGCACACUGUAGAGACUGCCUCGGAAACGAGGAGGAAGGUGUGGGCAACGAUAGGUGGUAUGCCCCGAAUUUCCUGGGCUACACGCGCGCAACAAUGGUAGGGACAAUGGGCUACGACUCUGAAAAGAGAAGUUAAUCCUCGAAACCCUACUCUAGUUCGGAUUGAGGGCUGCAACCCGCCCUCAUGACGCCGGAAUUCGUAGUAAUCGCUUGUCAUCAGCAAGCGGUGAAUACGUCCCUGUGCCUUGCACACACCGCCCGUCACACCACUCGAGUAGAGUUUGGGUGAGGCUUGUGCUCUAGCACAUUCCGAACCUAGGUUCUGCGAG
This 1432-nucleotide ribosomal RNA is filed under the name unidentified archaeon. Its description in RNAcentral is "16S ribosomal RNA". It matches the Rfam family "Archaeal small subunit ribosomal RNA". The record is from RNAcentral.